GCUGUUUCUGGAGGAGUUAGGGGAAGGAGGCUGCCUGGUAAGCCAGGAAAGGGGCUUCUGGCCGUUCUGUUGGAGCGCCUCUGACUGACUUCCCCCAUGUGUCCGUGUGGCCACACCGUGCUACUUUCAGAGGCAGUGGGCUUUUCGCUAAGGGAUAAAAAGAAGUAAAACCUUGCCUUUAGCGCAGCUCUCCUUCACUGGGCAGAUUGCUCUCCCUCCCCACUCUCCCAGGCCCAAAUUGGAUCUCAGCGCCUGGGAGCUCCAACUUUAGCAAGUGCGAAAUCCUGUCUUCGGUUUUGGAAUUUUCAUCCGCACAGACUAUAUCAGCCACGGAUAGGAUAUGUGAGAAUACCAGCAUGUCAAGGCUGGGAAUCAUCCUUAGGCAUCACCUAGCCAGUCCUGCCUCUCAUUUUAAGAGAAUAGACGCCUUGAUGGCUCCUCUGGCAGUUCUUGAUGACCAUGGAUGAGCUAAUGGCUGUGGUCUCAAUGGUGGCUUCUUGAGCUAAUUUCAAAUGGUCCAGUGCCUGAGACUUCACACUGAAGUAGAGCAUUUGUUCCUCUCACUAUGUCUGCAGGCUCAAGAGUUUUGAUGAAAGAAGGAGGUUCUACAAAAGCAUGAAAGCAUUGUGUGGACCUUCUUAUUGAUAGCGGACUGCACAGGCUCUAAUUCUUUAAUGAAAUGUGGCUUAUCAAUGAUGAUCAACUCUGCUUGGCAGAUGUCUGCUCCAAACUUGUUGGAAGCCUUACAAGAAUAAACUCCUCUAUCUUGAAUGGCUCUGCAGUACCUACCUACCAUGUUACUGUCUUGGUUGUUGGUCUCUCCAGUUGGUAAUACAAGCAUUUCCCACACAUGUACAGAAAGCAAAAAGGACAACAAUAUGAAAUGAAGUGACAACAUCUGUGCCAAUGUAUGGCAUUUACCUGUCACAGUUAGUGUGGCUGUACAGCUGACACUGCCAUACUCAUUGGAAGCUUUGCAUGUAUACUCGCCGCAGUCAACCACCUGGGUUCUCAGGAUUUCAAGGCUGGAGAUAUACUUUGAAGAUCGAAUAGAACACUUGUCACUCUCAUAAAUUUCUCGGCCAGCUUUAAACCACUGGAACCGGACAUUGGGAGCACUUUGGAUCUCACAGCAUAUAAGCAUUAGAAGACAGGACUCAAGUGUCUGCUGGCUGUAAAAAUACUGGAGAAACUCAUCUAUAGCAUGCAGAAUACAUAUUCAGUCAUUGUGUACAAUGCAGCUGUAUAGUCCUUGGUCUACCAGCUGAACAUUACAUAUGACUCAGGUUGGCUGUGCUUGAUACUUGGCCUACAGCAUUACUAGCAACAAACGUCUUCUUCCUUUGGUGAACUGAAUGAGGCACCAGGAUACACAUGAACUGCCACUGGACAUGAACUGCACACAAUAAAAACCCGGCAUUGAAAACGGGCUGGCUGCCCUUCAGAAGUGACAGUGUCCUGAAGCGGGGUGAUGAUGGCAGGUGGAUAAACAGGCAUUUCCUGAUCAGGAGACACAACUUCUGGAACUAAAGAAAGAAACCACAAGAUUUGUCAUGAUUAAGUCACCAUAGAGACCUCACAGAAGGGAGCAUGACAUCAAUUCCAGAGUGGGACAGCUCAACCUCAAACACCACAUUUUGAGUUUCUGUACAGGUUGUCUUUUUCCCGUCGAUGACAAAGCUGUAUUCUCCCUGGUCCUCCUUGGUUACAUCCUUGACCGUGAGGUUCUGACGUCCACGACGAGAUGUAAUUGUAUAUUUGCCAUUGGAUUUAAGCUCCACAUCAUUAUGAUACCAUUUUCCUUCUAUAUUUUCUGGGGAUACAAUGCACUCUAAUUCUCCUGAAUAUGAUUCUGGAACUUCUAUGUCCUGAAGUUCUUUCACAAACUCAACAACUGCACCUGAAGUGUAUAACAGAAAGAUAAAUCAAUUUUUUUGGAGAGGUAUGCAUCUAGACUUAGGAUAGAGAUGAUGUCUUGUAUGUCUUUUAUCUCCCCCAUACUAUCAGGUGUAUUCUUAAUAUCUACCCGCUGAUGGGCUGAGAGAUAAAUUUUCAAUAAGAAGCAGUUAUUUUAUUUUAAUUUUUAAAUAUUUUUGAAAGUAAAGAAUUAUGCUUCAAUAAAAAACUUAAAAGCUAAAAAUCAAGAUAAUACUACUUUAAAAAAUCCAAAUGGUCAAAUUGUUAACAUUCUUAAUUACGAACAUAAAUUUAUGAUUCUGGCUAUGAAACUUAUAGUCAAUUUCCAAAUAAUUGUUUCAUGAAAGAAAAAUUGCAUAGCUAAUUUUACCACAUGCUAAGGGUGACUUUAGAGCUUAGGUAAACAAUGAAAUCCUUCGUUGUUGAAUACCUUCAACAAUAAGUUUAGCAGUCGUUUUGACAUUUUCAUCUUCCACAAGUACACAGCUGUAAUCUUCAGCAUCAGACGUAUCAAUGGUCAGUAUGGAGAGGAAGUGAACCUUUCUGUCAGAGUGCAUCCUGUAUUUAUCUCCCUCAUGAACCUCCAUACCAUCUUUAUACCAUUUCACUUUGACAAAUGGUUCUGAAGUUUCACAUUCAAAGGUUGCCAUAGUGUCUUUUUCCUUAGCAACAACAUCUUGUAAUUCCUGUGUGAAAGUGAUCAAUUGCUUGGCUACAAGAAAAAGGUGGGGGAAAAAGGGGAGAGCACAUUAUAUUAAAUUAAAUUCUCAACCUGAGGAAUGGGGAAAGAAAAUAAAAGUAAACACACUCAUGGAUAUUCUUGAAUACAAAGACAGGUCCAUCAAAGGAAAGACAUGCAAAUUACCUUGGACAAGUAAGAAUGCGUGACUGGAGGUUUCUCCAGCUAUGUUGAUGGCUUUUACCAUGAUGCUGGCAGAGUCCUCAGCAGUCACAUCUCUUAUGACCAAUUCACAAACAUUGUCUUCGGGCCAGUACCAGUAGAUCCGGUCAGACCGUUCAAUUUUGACACCAUUUUUGUACCAUUCACAUUCGGGGUCUGGUUUCCCCACGACUCUGACCCGGAAGUGUGCAUCAGAUCCUUGGCCCACUGUUUGGCUCUGGAUUCUUUCGAAGAUUUUUGGAGCCUCCAUACUAGGACUUAGUUCAAUCUUGUCAGGUUUAAAAGUUGGAAUCGUGAUUUUGCCUUCUUCGGCAAGAGCUUUCUUUUCCUCUUCAGUUAACUCUUUGGUCCAGUGGAGAAGUUCAUCUUUUGUCUUCCUGAGGAGUUCCUCAUAGGAUUCAUCCUUCUUUCGAGACUUGAGCUCCACAGCGGUAAUGGCUUCAUAAUAGCCCUCUUCUGUUCUGCGCUUGAAUUUACUGCGCAGCUCUUCCGACUCUUCAGGCACUUUUUCAUGGGUAAUUCUUUCAGCCCUUUUCAACUUCACAACUUCUUUGGUUUCAGUGGUGUCAACAGGUCUAUCCACUUUUUGUACUUCAAACUGAAGCUUUCCUGGUUCAUGUACGUGAAACUCAGGCCUUGGUUCAGGAGCUCUCCUAAGGACAGACCUAAAAUCUUCCCUCUGUUGAAUCUCAAGCUUCACUUUAUGCUCUAUCACACCUUCAGGAUUUUCCGCGGUGACCUUCACUUCACCUGUGUCAUAUGAUUUGCAGUCCACGAUGUCCAGGUAAUGGAUACCAUCAUAGCGAACUCUGAACCUUUUGCUUUUGCGGAUGAGCUGUCCAUUGAGGUACCAGUUGACUUUGGGCUGAGGGUAGCCUGUUACCCUGCAGCGGAACCUUGCAGUCUCCCCUUCAAGUACUCUAACUGGCUCUGGGUACAAGACAAUGUCUGGCUUUUGCUUUUCUUUCUGAUCUGUUGUUACACCUGUAAGUGCACCUUCAUGAGCCAUUCUCUCUAAUUCUUCAAUUCUCUGUAAGCCUUUCCUCCCCUCAGGCAAUUGGGAUUCUUCCACAAGACUUUUCUCAUCUUUAACAAUAAGGGUAGCAGAUGUGUGAUCUGUUCCAUAUUUGUUAGUGGCUCUGCAAGUAAUGAUACCACUGUCUCUAGAAUAUGCAACGCCAUAAUCAAGGCUGCAGUACCCAAAUUCAUUGAUCAUACGGAGCCUGUUGGCUGCUUCAAGUGGCUUUCCAUCAUGGAGCCACUCCACCACCAUCGUUGGGUCACCAAUGGGUGUUAGCCUGCAUUCAAAGUGGGCAGGCCCAAAGCGCUUAAGUCUUAAGGAAGUGAGUUUUUUCUUGAAAAAUGGUUUCUGUUGUUUCUCUUUGUCAUAGAGAUCACCUUCUUCCCAUUGCUCUUGGCCAUAUCGCAAAUGGAGGGGCUCCAGUUCUGGGGCUGCAAUCUCCUUUGCUCUAUAUGUCCCCCGUGGGAUGAUUAACUUUCUCUCUGGCUCAGGCUCUGCAAACUCAACUUCAACAUUUACUUUGCAUCUUGUAGUGUCUCUGCCAGCUUUAUUAAUAGCAGUCGCAGUAUACCAGGCAGAAUCUUGGCUGACAGUGGAAUCGAUUUUAAGGGCAGCUUCUCCCUUGGUUCCUUCAAUUCUAUAAAAAGUUGGGGGAGGGAAUAAUCAAUAUAGUGGUAUAGCUUCCCUGGUUAUUGGAUUUGUAUAAUGAGCUUAGCUUUAUUAUUUCCAUACUUACCUGAUUUUGGGAUAUUUAUGAGGCACAAUGAUGUCACUGUUUUUCAACCAUACAAUGUCAGGGUUGGGGUUACCCGUAGCUCUGACUUUCAUUUCAAGUCGGGAACCUUCCUUUAUAUUGACAUUUUUCAGUUUUUCUACAAACAUCGGUUUUACCUGAUGUUCCACAGCUGAAAGAGAAAGGUCAUGAUUUAGAGGGAGUAAGGCUGAAAUACCUGUUUAUAACCCAAGUGAUAAGAAAAUUCAUUUAUUUUUAUUUUAUCUCAUUUUACCUUCCACAGUUAAAAUCACUGAAAUUGAAGAUCUGCCUGCCCUGUUUUGGGCAACCACAGUCCAUUCCCCAGAAUCACUGGGUGUGGCAGGGACAAUAAUUAGUGAUUGAGUACCAUCUUCUUUAAUGACUACUUUAUGGGUAUAGUCAUUGACAAUUUGCUGGCCUGUGAAAAUAUGUUUAAAAGAAAGUAGAUUUUAAAAUAGUUUUUAAAAAUUGUUAGAUGCAUACAUAAGCUUGUUUUUGUGUUUUUAUGAUUCAUGAGCAAAAACUUAUCACGCUUACCAUCAUGAAACCAGAACGUCUCUGGCAUAGGUCUACCAACAACCUUUAAGUCAAAUCUGGCAGUUUGCCCUUCUAAACAUUUGAAAGAAACAGGUUUUAACACAAAGACUGGUUUAUAUAGUCUCUCAAGUUGUGACUCAUCUGUCUCCUCCAGCCUACGUCCAGGGGACAUUCUUGCAGGGGACAUCCGUGCAGGAGACAUCCUUGCAGGUGACAUCCGUGCAGGAGACAUGCGUAUAGGAGACCUGCUCACUGAACGUGGAGAGAGAGAUCUGCAAAACAAAGACACACAAUACUUUCGUGAGGCAUAAAGAAAACUCAGCAAAACAAACUUCAUUUUGUCUUAUUCAUUAUUCAUGUUAUUUUAGAAUUUACUUCUUGCACGUAUUAGAAGGCACCUCAAACUCAUUCAGAUCUAAAAUAGAAUAUAUUAUUGUUGCCCCCACAACUAUGUUUUUCCUAUAUUCUCAAUUUUAGCUGGUAGUCAUUCAGUAUAUCCAGGUACCCAGGCUCAAAAAUCUUGGAAUAAUCCUCAAUACUCUCUUUUCCUUACCACUUGGAUUUAAUCAGUCACUAGACUUUUUUGAUUUAACUACUAAAACAUCCUAAUAAAUGUUGGUUGGAUAAGUAAACCAAUGAAUACAUUUAUGGAAAAAUAAAAAAUACACAUUCUUUAUCUCAGAGGAGGAAAACAUAGAAAUGAAUUUGGAAACAAAACAAAGCAAAACAAGACUCCAUCUACACAUUGCAGCCAGACUGACUUGGAGUUUGAAUGCUGGCACCACCGCUUACAGGCUGGAUGAAUUAAGACAAUUUUCAUAGAUUCCCAGGGCCUCAGUGUUCCUAUUUCCAAACCAAUAAUAGUCAUCUUUUUAUUGCAGGGCUGUUGUAUAAAUUUACAUAUGUAAAAAUCAGGUGUCAAAUAAGAGCUAUUGUGAUAUUAGCUAUAGCACUAGGAAAAUAAACAGUAUGUUACACUGAUGAAAAUUCUUUGCUCAUCUUACACAGGGGCAAGAAAUAAAAACUUCUGGCAAUUGUUGGUGUUGCCAAUGGUGCAACAUACCAUGAAGAUUAAGGAAACUUAGCAACAGUGAACUUGGACCUUCUAAUAGCUGUCUAACCCCGAGCUCAUCACUUGAAAAUGAAAAUAUCAAAUAAAAAAAGGAA
Homo sapiens (human) is the source of this 6297-nucleotide long non-coding RNA. Ensembl annotates it as TTN antisense RNA 1. Its record names the gene TTN-AS1. The record is from Ensembl. NCBI's taxonomy places the organism in Eukaryota, Metazoa, Chordata, Mammalia, Primates, Hominidae.